UACGGAGGGGGCUAGCGUUGUUCGGAAUUACUGGGCGUAAAGCGCACGUAGGCGGCUUUGUAAGUUAGAGGUGAAAGCCCGGGGCUCAACUCCGGAAUUGCCUUUAAGACUGCAUCGCUAGAAUUGUGGAGAGGUAAGUGGAAUUCCGAGUGUAGAGGUGAAAUUCGUAGAUAUUCGGAAGAACACCAGUGGCGAAGGCGACUUACUGGACACAUAUUGACGCUGAGGUGCGAAAGCGUGGGGAGCAAGCAGG
This 253-nucleotide ribosomal RNA is filed under the name uncultured bacterium. RNAcentral describes it as "partial 16S ribosomal RNA". It matches the Rfam family "Bacterial small subunit ribosomal RNA", at positions 524 to 776 of the family's 1533-position model. The record is from RNAcentral.